This 520-nucleotide ribosomal RNA is filed under the name uncultured bacterium. RNAcentral describes it as "bacterial SSU rRNA". It matches the Rfam family "Bacterial small subunit ribosomal RNA", at positions 120 to 674 of the family's 1533-position model. The record is from RNAcentral.
GGGAAUCUGCCCUUGGGUCUGGGAUAACAGUUGGAAACGACUGCUAAUACCGGAUGAUAUCGCGAGAUCAAAGAUUUAUCGCCCGAGGAUGAGCCCGCGUAGGAUUAGCUAGUUGGUGGGGUAAAGGCCUACCAAGGCGACGAUCCUUAGCUGGUCUGAGAGGAUGAUCAGCCACACUGGGACUGAGACACGGCCCAGACUCCUACGGGAGGCAGCAGUGGGGAAUAUUGGACAAUGGGCGAAAGCCUGAUCCAGCGAUGCCGCGUGAGUGAUGAAGGCCUUAGGGUUGUAAAGCUCUUUUACCCGGGAUGAUAAUGACAGUACCGGGAGAAUAAGCCCCGGCUAACUCCGUGCCAGCAGCCGCGGUAAUACGGAGGGGGCUAGCGUUGUUCGGAAUUACUGGGCGUAAAGCGCACGUAGGCGGCUUUGUAAGUCAGGGGUGAAAGCCUGGAGCUCAACUCCAGAACUGCCUUUGAGACUGCAUCGCUUGAAUCCGGGAGAGGUAGGUGGAAUUCCGAGU